Molecule: ribosomal RNA, 460 nt
Filed under: uncultured bacterium
Lineage: Bacteria
Description: partial 16S ribosomal RNA
Rfam family: Bacterial small subunit ribosomal RNA
Source: RNAcentral
CCUACGGGAGGCAGCAGUGAGGAAUAUUGGUCAAUGGGCGAGAGUCUGAACCAGCCAAGUAGCGUGAAGGAUGACUGCCCUAUGGGUUGUAAACUUCUUUUAUAUGGGAAUAAAGUGUUCCACGUGUGGGGUUUUGUAUGUACCUUAUGAAUAAGGAUCGGCUAACUCCGUGCCAGCAGCCGCGGUAAUACGGAGGAUCCGAGCGUUAUCCGGAUUUAUUGGGUUUAAAGGGAGCGUAGGCGGGUUGUUAAGUCAGGUGUUAAAGUUUGCGGCUCAACCGUAACAUUGCAGUUGAAACUGGCAGUCUUGAGUACAGGAGAGGUGCGUGGAAUUCGUGGUGUAGCGGUGAAAUGCUUAGAUAUCACGAAGAACUCCGAUCGCGAAGGCAGCGCACUGGAGCGAAACUGACACUGAGGCUCGAAAGUGUGGGUAUCAAACAGGAUUAGAUACCCGAGUAGUC